GCUUGGGUGGCUCAGUCGGUUAAGUGUUUGACUUCAGCUCAGGUCAUGAUCUCACAGUUUGUGGGUUCAAGCCCCACGUCAGGCU
Transfer RNA from Felis catus (domestic cat), 85 nucleotides. It matches the Rfam family "tRNA". From Rfam's summary of the family: Transfer RNA (tRNA) molecules are approximately 80 nucleotides in length. Their secondary structure includes four short double-helical elements and three loops (D, anti-codon, and T loops). Further hydrogen bonds mediate the characteristic L-shaped molecular structure. tRNAs have two regions of fundamental functional importance: the anti-codon, which is responsible for specific mRNA codon recognition, and the 3' end, to which the tRNAs corresponding amino acid is attached (by aminoacyl-tRNA synthetases). tRNAs cope with the degeneracy of the genetic code in two manners: having more than one tRNA (with a specific anti-codon) for a particular amino acid; and 'wobble' base-pairing, i.e. permitting non-standard base-pairing at the 3rd anti-codon position. Lineage: Eukaryota; Metazoa; Chordata; Mammalia; Carnivora; Felidae. The record is from Rfam.